AACGAACGCUGGCGGCAGGCUUAACACAUGCAAGUCGAACGGGUGUAGCAAUACAUCAGUGGCAGACGGGUGAGUAACACGUGGGAACCUUCCUAGGGGUACGGAACAACUCAGGGAAACUUGAGCUAAUACCGUAUACGUCCGUGAGGAGAAAGAUUUAUCGCCCUUAGACGGGCCCGCGUCGGAUUAGCUAGUUGGUGGGGUAACGGCCUACCAAGGCGACGAUCCGUAGCUGAUCUUAGAGGAUGAUCAGCCACACUGGGACUGAGACACGGCCCAGACUCCUACGGGAGGCAGCAGUGGGGAAUCUUGGACAAUGGGCGCAAGCCUGAUCCAGCCAUGCCGCGUGAGUGAAGAAGGUCUUCGGAUUGUAAAGCUCUUUUGCCAGGGACGAUAAUGACGGUACCUGGAGAAUAAG
RNAcentral lists this ribosomal RNA (418 nucleotides) under uncultured Alphaproteobacteria bacterium. RNAcentral's name for it is "bacterial SSU rRNA". It matches the Rfam family "Bacterial small subunit ribosomal RNA", at positions 29 to 490 of the family's 1533-position model. The record is from RNAcentral. Lineage: Bacteria; Pseudomonadati; Pseudomonadota; Alphaproteobacteria.